UACGUAGGUGGCAAGCGUUGUCCGGAUUUACUGGGCGUAAAGGGCGUGCAGGCGGUUUGUUAAGUCUAGGGUGAAAGCUCCCGGCUCAACUGGGAGAGGUCCUUGGAUACUGGCGAACUUGAGGGAUGCAGAGGAAAGUGGAAUUCCCGGUGUAGUGGUGAUAUGCGUAGAUAUCUGGAGGAACACCGGUGGCGAAGGCGGCAUCCUGGACCAAUAUUGACGCUGAGGAGCGAAAGCCAGGGGAGCAAACGGG
RNAcentral lists this ribosomal RNA (253 nucleotides) under uncultured bacterium. RNAcentral's name for it is "partial 16S ribosomal RNA". It matches the Rfam family "Bacterial small subunit ribosomal RNA", at positions 524 to 776 of the family's 1533-position model. The record is from RNAcentral.